UACGGAGGGUGCAAGCGUUAUCCGGAUUCACUGGGUUUAAAGGGUGCGUAGGCGGGCCAUUAAGUCAGUGGUGAAAGCUCCGAGCUUAACUCGGAAACUGCCAUUGAUACUAUUGGUCUUGAAUUCGGUCGAGGUUGGCGGAAUGUGUCGUGUAGCGGUGAAAUGCUUAGAUAUGACACAGAACACCGAUUGCGAAGGCAGCUAGCUAGACCGACAUUGACGCUGAGGCACGAAAGCGUGGGGAUCAAACAGG
Molecule: ribosomal RNA, 253 nt
Filed under: uncultured bacterium
Lineage: Bacteria
Description: partial 16S ribosomal RNA
Rfam family: Bacterial small subunit ribosomal RNA
Source: RNAcentral